RNAcentral lists this ribosomal RNA (253 nucleotides) under uncultured bacterium. RNAcentral's name for it is "partial 16S ribosomal RNA". It matches the Rfam family "Bacterial small subunit ribosomal RNA", at positions 525 to 776 of the family's 1533-position model. The record is from RNAcentral.
ACGUAGGAGGCGAGCGUUAUCCGGAGUUACUGGGCGUAAAGCGCAUGUAGGCGGUUGGAUAAGUUGCGUGUGAAAGCUCCUGGCUAAACUAGGAGAGGACAGGCAAGACUGUUCGGGCUAGAGGGUGGUAGAGGGGCACAGAAUUCGGGGUGUAGCGGUGAAAUGUGUAGAGAUCCCGAGGAAUACCAGUGGUGAAGACGGUGCCCUGGGCCAUACCUGACGCUGAGAUGCGAAAGCGUGGGGAGCGAACGGG